This 440-nucleotide ribosomal RNA is filed under the name uncultured Dehalococcoidia bacterium. RNAcentral's name for it is "partial 16S ribosomal RNA". It matches the Rfam family "Bacterial small subunit ribosomal RNA", at positions 338 to 794 of the family's 1533-position model. Lineage: Bacteria; Bacillati; Chloroflexota; Dehalococcoidia. The record is from RNAcentral.
CCUACGGGAGGCAGCAGCAAGGAAUUUUGCGCAAUGGGCGAAAGCCUGACGCAGCAACGCCGCGUGGGUGAUGAAGGCCUUCGGGUCGUAAAGCCCUUUUGCUAGGGAAGAGAGAGGACGGUACCUAGCGAAUAAGCCUCGGCUAACUACGUGCCAGCAGCCGCGGUAAGACGUAGGAGGCGAGCGUUGUCCGGAAUUACUGGGCGUAAAGAGCGCGCAGGCGGCUUGAGAAGUCCCCUGUGAAAUCCCUCGGCUCAACUGAGGGGGGACAGGAGAUACUCGUGGGCUUGAGGGCAGCAGAGGAAAGUGGAAUUCCCGGUGUAGCGGUGAUAUGCGUAGAUAUCGGGAGGAACACCAGUGGCGAGGGCGGCUUUCUGGGCUGCCCCUGACGCUGAGGCGCGAAAGCGUGGGGAGCAAACGGGAUCAGAUCCCCGGGUAGU